RNA transcript from Populus trichocarpa (black cottonwood), 2652 nucleotides. It is a transcript of the gene named fatty acid amide hydrolase, with no coding region annotated. NCBI's taxonomy places the organism in Eukaryota, Viridiplantae, Streptophyta, Magnoliopsida, Malpighiales, Salicaceae. The record is from RefSeq and is a predicted model, not a curated record. The transcript is spliced from 20 exons.
CAUUCAAUCCAAGGCCUGGAUUAUAGGUGGAAUAGUGGAUGAAUUCAAGCUUAGAUUUAUUUUUUUCCAAGUCUGUAACAAUUGUUUCAUCGACCCAACUCGAAAUAAACGGCAAACCAGCUGGUUACCGGGUUGAUUCGCCGGUCAGUCCAACUCCUAUAAGGAGGUUAUCGAACAAUAGGAAAGCAACAGAAGUAACCCAUUAAAAAAAUACACGAAGCUUUGAAGCAUUCAACUACUAAUCUCUAUAUGACAAGACAGAUUACUACUUCUAUACUCUCUUUUUUGCCCUCCUCCUCCUCUCAUAGAAUUCCACGCCCAGAUCAGAAACAUCUUCGUGUUUGUCAAUCUAUUCAAUGUUUGAGAAACCAAACACAGUUUGAGUAUUGUUGACUUUGUUAUAUACAGAAAGCAGUUCAAGUUUUACACAUCAAAAUAUCUCUUGAUUUCUCUAUUCGAUUGAUCAUCAAUAGAGUGGUCCUGUUUUGUUUUUGUUUUCCAUAAAGAAUGGGAAAGAAACGUGUAAUGGUGCCGGCUGAGGACGUCGACUUGUCCGCUGUCAAGUACCAGCAUGAAGCAAUCCAAGCUCCGCAUUUGACUGGAUUGAAAUUUAAGCUGUUUGUAAAGUUACUUGAGACUCCGCUUGUUGGUCCUUUGAUUAUAUCACAUUUGAAGAAGGAGAACAAGAUAGUUGAGUUGCUGCAAAAAACUGUGAUACCGGAAGCGCCUAUGUAUAAACCUGAAUAUCCUCCACAAGAACCAGAACCUGGCGUUGUCGUUGUGGAUGAAGAUGGAAAACCAGAAGACCGGGUAGAGUUAGCUAUGAACUGCCUUCCUCCUUAUAAUUCUGCCAGCUGCUGGAAUGAGGACUUGGCUUCACCGUUUAGGUAUUGGAAGAUACGCGAUUAUGCACAUGCUUAUCGGUCCCAGUUUGUUACUCCAUCUAUGGUUGCUGAGAAGAUCAUCUCAGUUAUAGAAGAAUUCAACAAAAAGGAUCCCCCAAUGCCAUUAUUGAUUUCUUUUGAUGCUGAAGAAGUCAGGAAACAAGCUGCAGCUUCUACAAAGAGAUUUGAGGAAGGAAGUCCAAUAUCCAUCCUGGAUGGCAUUUUCAUAUCAAUCAAGGAUGAUAUAGAUUUGUAUCCACAUCCAUCCAAGGGUGGGACAACAUGGAUGCAUGAGGUCCGCCCUGUGGAAGAGGACGCGGUUAGUGUUUCUAGACUGCGUUGCUGUGGCGUGAUAUUUGUAGGAAAGGCAAAUAUGCAUGAGUUUGGCAUGGGUACUACUGGGAACAAUCCAAAUUAUGGAACAACGAGAAACCCUCAUGCAUUGGAUAGGUACACAGGCGGAUCUUCCUCAGGCCCGGCAGCAAUUGUAGCCUCUGGUCUAUGCUCUGCUGCCUUGGGAACUGAUGGUGGAGGUUCAAUCCGCAUUCCCUCUUCUCUCUGUGGUGUAGUGGGUUUGAAAACAACAUAUGGUCGGACAAACAUCAGAGGUUCCUUGUGUGAUCAUGGGACCGUGGCAAUUAUCGGACCAAUUGCAUCUUCUGUGGAGGAUGUCAUGCUUGUGUAUGCAGCAAUUUUGGGCUCCAAUCCUGCAGAUAGGAUCAGUUUGAAUCCGUCACCCCCUUGUUUGCCAAAUUUGUCAUCAUGUGACGGUGCAGAUGCUUUAGGAUCAUUGCGACUGGGAAAAUAUACUGCGUGGUUUAAUGAUGUACAGUCAACUGAUGUCUCUGAUACGUGUGAGGAUAUGCUUAACCUUUUAUCCAAAACACAUGGGUGUGAAAUGGUAGAGAUUGUCAUACCUGAGAUGCAAGAGAUGCGCACUGCUCAUCUUCUUUCAAUUGGAUCUGAGUUUAUGCAGUCACUGAUUCCUGAUAUUGAGGAUGGGAAAGGUGUGAGGUUGAACUACGAUUCCCGUACUAGUGUUGCACUUUUUCGAUCAUUCAGUGCAUCAGACUACAUUGCUGCCCAGUGUCUUAGGCGAAGACUAAUGUACCAUCAUAUGGAGAUUUUCAAAAAGGUUGAUGUCAUAGUGACACCAACAACUGGCAUGACAGCACCCAAAAUACCUUCUGGUGCUCUUAGCUAUGGAGAGACAAAUUUGCAGGUUACAGGUUACCUUAUGCGCUUUGUUGUUGCUGCAAAUCUUCUUGGUUUCCCUGCCAUUUCUAUACCUUUCAUCCUCGGUAAGCGCUGCAUAACGACACAUCCAAUAUGGUCAAUUUUCAGGUUGGUUAUGAUAAACAAGGGCUUCCGAUUGGGUUGCAGCUAAUUGGCAGGCCAUGGGGUGAAGCAACACUGUUGCGUUUAGCUUCUGCAGUAGAGGAACUAUAUGCUAAACCUAAGAAGCGGCCCGCAUCAUUUUAUGAUGUUUUGAAGACGAAAUAAAACAUUGCAUCUACCUUCUAUUCCUAGUCUUCCUUCUCAUGAUUGAAAAAGACAGUUUGUUACCAUACUUCAAUAACAACUGAUCCUUUUUCAUAUAAAUUCGUCAACAAAUUGUCAUUGUCUACAACUCAAGAGCAAUUCAAGUCUAUUAUUGUCGCGGGGUGGUUCCAAACCCAGAUAUGGGUUUUCUUUUUAACAUGAGUCCUAUGAGUGUAAAUUAAGUAAUGUUUAUAUCCUCAAGCAACAAAGAAGUUGGAAGAUCAAA